Molecule: ribosomal RNA, 435 nt
Filed under: uncultured Oscillospiraceae bacterium
Lineage: Bacteria; Bacillati; Bacillota; Clostridia; Eubacteriales; Oscillospiraceae
Description: bacterial SSU rRNA
Rfam family: Bacterial small subunit ribosomal RNA
Source: RNAcentral
ACGGAAGGCAGCAGUGGGGAAUAUUGGGCAAUGGGGGAAACUCUGACCCAGCAACGCCGCGUGAAGGAAGAAGGCCUUCGGGUUGUAAACUUCUUUUACCAGGGACGAAAACUGACGGUACCUGGAGAAAAAGCAACGGCUAACUACGUGCCGGCAGCCGCGGUAAUACGUAGGUUGCAAGCGUUGUCCGGAUUUACUGGGUGUAAAGGGCGUGUAGGCGGAGCUGCAAGUCAGAUGUGAAAUCCCGGGGCUCAACCCCGGAACUGCAUUUGAAACUGUAGCCCUUGAGUAUCGGAGAGGCAAGCGGAAUUCCUAGUGUAGCGGUGAAAUGCGUAGAUAUUAGGAGGAACGCCAGUGGCGAAGGCGGCUUGCUGGACGACAACUGGCGCUGAGGCGCGAAAGCGUGGGGAGCAAACAGGAUUAGAUACCCUGGUA